Molecule: long non-coding RNA, 536 nt
Filed under: Lupinus angustifolius (narrow-leaved blue lupine)
Lineage: Eukaryota; Viridiplantae; Streptophyta; Magnoliopsida; Fabales; Fabaceae
Description: long non-coding RNA (LANG_LNC003514)
Source: RNAcentral
GUUUCUACAUGCAAUGGGUGAAUUAUUUCGUCGAACAUCUUUUGUGCAUAAUGUUUUAUAAACUACAUCAAAAUAAAAUAGAAAUUAAAGAUAGAUGAAACUAAGAGAAGAAUGAUGUAUAAUAGCAAAGAAUAAUAGAUUACUUCUCUUAACAUAUUCAUCCUAAACGUACAAUUAUAACAAAUGUUUCUCAAAAUUAACUAGAGUUUAAAUUGUAAAUAAUGAAUUGAAAUUGUUUUUAAAACUUAUUGAGUAGAUGAUAACAUAAGAGAAAACGAUAAUAUUGCAAUUGUAGAAUGAGGUAUGAGGCACAACAACAUGAGAUAACCUGAUAAUGUAAAUGUGGUCUCUGUUGUUAUCUCACCAUUUCCAGCGUUGAGUGCGAUAAAAAAACUCACUUCCCAACUCACCGCCCUCUACGCCGAUCACAACUGCUGCAUCAAAGACAACAUAAUACUUCUAGUGAAGGAUCCACCAUGCUCCGUUCAAAAUCCUCCAAGAGAGAACCCAUUUGCAUUAAUAGGUUAUUGGGUCUC